CGGCGGACGGGUGAGUAAUGUAUGGGGAACUGCCCGAUGGAGGGGGAUAACUACUGGAAACGGUAGCUAAUACCGCAUAAUGUCUACGGACCAAAGCGGGGGACCUCCGGGCCUCGCGCCAUCAGAUGAACCCAUAUGGGAUUAGCUUGUAGGUAAGGUAACGGCUUACCUAGGCGACGAUCCCUAGCUGGUCUGAGAGGGUGAUCAGCCACACUGGGACUGAGACACGGCCCAG
Molecule: ribosomal RNA, 235 nt
Filed under: uncultured bacterium
Lineage: Bacteria
Description: partial 16S ribosomal RNA
Rfam family: Bacterial small subunit ribosomal RNA
Source: RNAcentral